CACCGGCAGCUCUAGUGGUAGCUGUUUUUAUUGGGCCUAAAGCGUUCGUAGCCGGUUUGAUAAGUCACUGGUGAAAUCCUGUAGCUUAACUGUGGGAAUUGCUGGUGAUACUGUUGAACUUGAGGUCGGGAGAGGUUAGCGGUACUCCCAGGGUAGAGGUGAAAUUCUGUAAUCCUGGGAGGACCACCUGUGGCGAAGGCGGCUAACUGGAACGAACCUGACGGUGAGGGACGAAAGCCAGGGGCGCGAACCGGAUUAGAUACCCGGGUAGUCCUGGCCGUAAACGAUGCGGACUUGGUGUUGGGAUGGCUUUGAGCCGCUCCGGUGCCGAAGGGAAGCUGUUAAGUCCGCCGCCUGGGAAGUACGGUCGCAAGACUGAAACUUAA
RNAcentral lists this ribosomal RNA (386 nucleotides) under uncultured methanogenic archaeon. RNAcentral describes it as "bacterial SSU rRNA". It matches the Rfam family "Archaeal small subunit ribosomal RNA", at positions 474 to 859 of the family's 1478-position model. Lineage: Archaea; Methanobacteriati; Methanobacteriota. The record is from RNAcentral.